AUUCAUGAGAGACAGAGAAGCAGAGACACAAGCAGAGGGAGAAGCAGGCUCCACGCAGGGAGCCCGACAUAGGAUUCAUCUCGAGUCUCCAGGAUCACGACCUGGGCCCAAGGCGGUGCUAAACCACUGAGCCACCCCGGCUGCCCUUACCCAGUGUUUUAUGCUGAAUCCUGUAUGUGAGUCUGCAUUUGAUUUGAUGUUCGUAACAACCGCACGCAGAGAACAACAGUGAACCCCUUACAUAUCCACAGCCUGGCUUUCCGAAUCUGGAAAAGCUGGCUGAAACAAUACAUAAUCUGCGGGUCUGUCUGUUUUUUUUGUUGUUGUCGUUGUUGUUGUUGUUGUUGUUGUUCUAUGAAAGAGAGAGAAAGAAGCAGGCUCCAUGCAGGGAUCCGACGGACUCAAUCCUGGGACUCCAGGAUCAUGCCCGGGGCUAAAGGCAGGUGCUAAACCGCUGAGCCACCCAGGGAUUCCUACAAUCUGCGGGUGUUACUGAAGCAUUGUUAGUGGUUCCAAUAAAUCUUUCCUAGUAAGACAAGGUUCAAAACCGUGCACGCCUGGCAUUCAGUUGUCCCGUCUUUUUCAGACUUCUUUAAUCUGGAACAGUUCUAGUUCUUGGUAAUUCAUGACAUUGCCAUUUUUUGUAGGACAUCCCUAAAGUUGGGUCUGUCUUAUGUUUCGUUGUUUUCGACUGGGGUCGCACACGUUGGCCAAGAGAGACCAUGGAAGUGAUGCUGUGUUCUCAGCGCAUAACACGAAGAGAGAAAUUCCCGGAAAGGACUGACGGGCACUCUAGAAAACCCCUUCAGAUAAUUCAGAUCACAUCACUCAGCUGCAAGAGAAUUUACACAGCUCAAGAGAAAACCUGGACUCGUAAAACCAUUAACAGAAGAUCAAGAUCAACAAGAAUUAAUUUCUGGGAACUGACAGAUGUGAUGAGCAUGAUUAUAAAUUUUUAUGACUUUUGUUUGAAACAUUGCUGGUUCUUUAAUCUCGUAUCUUCCAGAUUUCAAGAAACUUUCUCUUAAACUAGCUAUGACCUAACAGCAAUUAGUAAAGUCUACCUUUGUCAAGCAAGAUGAAGCAAUUACCUUUUCUCCCUGCCUGAUGUCUCCAUAAUCUGGAGACUCCUGUGGAGAUGCUACUUCACAGCCUGAAUCCCUCUGGCGACUGGAGGAGGCCGCUGAGCGGACUUGGGGCUGCCCAGGCCCAUGCACCUCGCCCUCCGCCGCCGGCCCCGCUGCCCCACCAGCUCCCCCGUGGCCCCCUGCUGCACUCUCCAGAGGUGCCUGGGGGCUCAGCCGGUUAAGUGUGUGCCAAGCGCUGCCCCUGGGCUCCCCUGGAGACCCGAGUGUGCCCUUUAGUCCUAUAGCUGCUUGUGUAGACGCCUCUGUGGCCCUCUCUCUC
Long non-coding RNA from Canis lupus familiaris (dog), 1407 nucleotides. RefSeq lists it as uncharacterized. The record is from RefSeq and is a predicted model, not a curated record. NCBI's taxonomy places the organism in Eukaryota, Metazoa, Chordata, Mammalia, Carnivora, Canidae. The transcript is spliced from 3 exons.